UCAUACCAACUUUUAAACUACCAUUCUUUCAUAUUCCUUAACUCUUAUUCCUUAACUAUGACAAAUAAAUUUAUCAUUCAAUCCUUUGAACCUUCAUCUUUUCCCAUUCCUAACCAUUGUGUGUAUAAAUAUAUGAUUUUGUGCACAAAUGCUAAAUGUUUUUAGUGCAAAUUUGAGUUUUCAUCAUCACUUUUCUCCAACCAACUUUUGGAUAGAUGCUCUCCAAUAGGUUCUUCAUCUUUUUCACAAUUUAUUAGUUUCUAUAUAUAUAACAACUUAUUAAUUAUGUUACUCUUACAUUGUGUGAAAAUUUUAGAAAUCC
Molecule: long non-coding RNA, 322 nt
Filed under: Trifolium pratense (red clover)
Lineage: Eukaryota; Viridiplantae; Streptophyta; Magnoliopsida; Fabales; Fabaceae
Description: long non-coding RNA (TPRA_LNC010973)
Source: RNAcentral